RNAcentral lists this long non-coding RNA (770 nucleotides) under Marmota monax (woodchuck). Lineage: Eukaryota; Metazoa; Chordata; Mammalia; Rodentia; Sciuridae. The record is from RNAcentral.
GGGGAUUGAACCCAGGGGCAUCCUAACCACUGAGCAACAUCUCCAACCCUUUUUUAUAUUUUAUCUAGAGACAGGGCCUCGCUAAGUCGCUGGCUUUGAACUCCUGAUCCUCCUGCCUCAGCCUUCCAAGCUGCUGGGAUUACAGGCUUAGCCAGGCACUCUUUUCUUAUUCUCUCAGCUCUAUCAGAGGUUUCCAACCAGGAGCAGCACCGUCCCUUCAGGGAGUGUUUGGAAAGGUACCGGAGCAAUUGGCACCUACAUUGGGCUGUUGCAAACUUGCAUUUACUGUGUAGAGUAUGUGGAUGCUGAUGUCCCACAAUGUGCCCAGCAGCCCUCCACAACCAAGAACCUUCCCACUCAAUAUGCCAGGAGAGCUCCUGUUGAAACCUGAUAGAACAAAAACUCUGAAAACACCCAGUGGCUUGAGGAGCCCUCACUCCAUCUUCCUCCCGGAUUCUUUGGGAAACCCUUUUUGGAAGGGAGUGACAUGUGGAGGGGGCAAGGGUCAAGAUAACCCAAAUUCUCCAAAUUCCCCAGGCAUUUGAGAUGAAGUCUCGUGAUCUGUUCUGCUAACAAGUCAAAAAUAAAAAAUAAAUAAAUAAACUUUGUGAUGUUAACUUUUUUGGGAAGAAGUUAAGCAAGAUUCUAAGUUUAGAAUAUUAUUUUCAACUCAACAAUCACAUCACAGUUGUCCUUCAGGGUAAUUUUUCUUCAUAAAGGUGACUAAUUAUGAAGGAAAGAGAGGCUCAAGCGUUUAAAAAGGACUCAAG